RNAcentral lists this ribosomal RNA (972 nucleotides) under human gut metagenome. Its description in RNAcentral is "bacterial LSU rRNA". It matches the Rfam family "Bacterial large subunit ribosomal RNA", at positions 1945 to 2925 of the family's 2925-position model. The record is from RNAcentral.
ACGGUCCUAAGGUAGCGAAAUUCCUUGUCGGGUAAGUUCCGACCUGCACGAAAGGCGCAACGACUUGGGCGCUGUCUCGACCAUGGACCCGGUGAAAUUGCACUGGUCGUGAAGAUGCGACUUACCCGCGGAAGGACGGAAAGACCCCGUGAACCUUCACUGCAGCUUGGCAUUGGCCGCUGGUCCCGCGUGUAGAGGAUAGGCAGGAGGCAUCGAUCCGGAGGCGCCAGCCCCCGGGGAGCCGCCCUUGGAAUACUGCCCUCGCGCGACCGGCGUCCUAACCCGAGGCCGUCAACCGGCUCGGGGACCGUGCCAGGCGGGCAGUUUGACUGGGGCGGUCGCCUCCUAAAGGGUAACGGAGGCGCGCGAAGGUCCGCUCGGGACGGUCGGCAACCGUCCUUUUGAAUGCAAGAGUACAAGCGGGCUUGACUGCGAGGCCCACAAGCCGAGCAGGUGCGAAAGCAGGCUCUAGUGAUCCGGCGGCCCCGAGUGGGUGGGCCGUCGCUCAACGGAUAAAAGGUACUCCGGGGAUAACAGGCUGAUCUUGCCCAAGAGUCCACAUCGACGGCAAGGUUUGGCACCUCGAUGUCGGCUCAUCGCAUCCUGGGGCUGGAGCAGGUCCCAAGGGUACGGCUGUUCGCCGUUUAAAGCGGUACGCGAGCUGGGUUCAGAACGUCGUGAGACAGUUCGGUCCCUAUCCUCCGUGGGCGCAGGAGAAUCGAUGGAGGCUGCCCCCAGUACGAGAGGACCGGGGUGGACGCACCUCCGGUGAACCGGUUGUCGACCAACGGCACGGCCGGGUAGCCGCGUGCGGCGCGGAUAACCGCUGAAGGCAUCUAAGCGGGAAGCCGUUCCAGGGAUUAGUUCUCCUUCCGGUAAGGGCCCAGGUAGACUACCUGGUCGAUAGACGGCAGGUGCAAGGGCGGCGACGUCCUCAGCCGAGCCGCACUAAUCGCCCGAGCUCUUCCGGAA